AGCCACUUAGUCCCUCAAGAUGCAAGGUUUGCUAAGUGUUUUGAGGUUGCAAACUGACUUCUGGGUUUUGAGAACUAUUUGACUUUCUGGCUUCACAACUGGCCAUCAAACUACAGUCAGUCAUGCAACAGGAGCCUCUGAUGACGACCCUUUCUGCUGGGAACCCUUAAAUAGGCCUCUGAGGGAGCUCUGACUGCGGCUUCCCCCAAAACAGCGCCCCCUGUCAGCAGGAGGCAGUUAAGAUCGCUCUUCUUCCUUAUCCUUAUUCUAAUGGCAGUUAGAUGUACCUCUCUAGAGCGGGGAAUGAGACAGCCAGGUGGGAGGGGGUCCCCAGAGAAACUCCAGCUGGCCUGCACACUGGGAUGGAGCCACAAUAGUUCACAUCCUUUGCAGCAGGGAGGAGCCAGCUCCUCCUCUUCUGUGUGGAACCUGGAAUUCAAGCCGCUGGCGGCAAGCACUCUAGCAGGGACUCUGACUUGUUGAGGAUCCCUGUUUCCCCCUUUUUCUCCCCACUUUUCACCGAAUAAAACUUUGUCUUACCCACCCUUCAAACCGUCUUUGAGCCUAAAUUUUCAUGGCCCGGGGACGGACAAGGACCCUGUCUUUAGCUGAACAGACCUGCAAAAUAUUGAUGUCUUUGCCUGUAACUCUUGCCUCCCCGAAAGGUAUAAUACUCAACUGCAACCCAGCUCCCUCAAUAUUUUAAAUCUUUAUUGUAAAAACAUCUUAUUUUAAGAAAUGGGAUGUGCAAGGGAAAUGGUAAUUAUGUUCCCAAAGCAUCAAUAAUUUCAAAAAGAGAAUGCAGGGGAAGAUUGCUUUCCAUAGUUUUAGCAUAGAAAGUUUAAUACUCUAUCACAAACAAGGCACCUUCUCCCUGUAGCCCUCUGCAGCUUUCAGAGCACACUGUGAUACAAUUUCAAAAGGAAGCCACUUUUAUAAAUUCAUACCCACCCUGGUGUGCAACUGAAAAAAGUGAAAAAGUAAAACCCACUUUCUCAGGACCUCUUGAGACUGUGUUCCCCCGCCAUGGUCACUCAUAUUGGCUCAGAAUAAACCUCUUUAAAAUAUUUUACAGAGCUGGUUUUUCUGUUAACAAUGCCUAUUUUAUCAGUUAUUUUAUUCAUUUACCCCUGAAAUCUUAAAACAGACUUAAGGAAAUUCACAAAUACCAAUAGAUAAGAUAAAGCUACGUUAACAAUAAGUAAGGAAGGAAAUAUGGGCAAAAGAAAAAUAAAGCAGAGAGCUGGGAUGCCAGAUGGCUUGAAAGUCAAACAUAUGUAAAUAAAAAGCAUUAAUAAUCAUCUUAAUUAUAUUCUAUGUUAUAUUUUAUUUCAGAUAAUGGAGCUAUUUUUUUCUUUCGUUGUCCAAGUGGAAGAUGUUAAAAAAGAAACCCUCAAUGGUAAUGCAGUUUAUACCAACUUCACACAAUCUGUUACACUCAUUGAUCCGUGGAAUAAUCAUGACACUCAAAUGAAUUUGUAUGCUGGUAUUUACUAUGGGAAUGUAAAAAGAAUAUUACACUAGGUUUUGACAGAUUUGGGCUAACAGGUAAAUCUUUAUUGUAAAAGAUUUUAUUUUAAGAAAUGGGAUGUACAAGGGAAAUGGUAAUUAUGUUCCCAAAGCAUCAAUAAUUUCAAAAAGAGAAUGUAGAAGAAGAUUGUUUUCCAUAGUUUUAACACAGAAAAUUUAAUACUCUAUCAAAAAGAAGGCACCUUCUCCCUGUAGCCUCUGAAGCUUUCAGAGCACACUGUAAUACAAUUUCAAAAGGAAGCCACUUCUAUAAAUUCAUACCCACCCUGGUGUGCAACUGACAGCUUCAGAGGUAACAUUAUUGACUGCUUACACAAGAAAAUCUUCAUGCAAUGCAAAUUUAAAUUUCCAAG
RNAcentral lists this long non-coding RNA (1883 nucleotides) under Homo sapiens (human). RNAcentral describes it as "non-protein coding lnc-PSMA2-1:14". The record is from RNAcentral. Lineage: Eukaryota; Metazoa; Chordata; Mammalia; Primates; Hominidae.